AACGAACGCUGGCGGCAGGCUUAACACAUGCAAGUCGAACGCCCCGCAAGGGGAGUGGCAGACGGGUGAGUAACGCGUGGGAACAUACCCUUUUCUACGGAAUAGCUCUGGGAAACUGGAAUUAAUACCGUAGACGCCCUACGGGGGAAAGAUUUAUCGGGGAAGGAUUGGCCCGCGUUGGAUUAGCUAGUUGGUGGGGUAAAGGCCUACCAAGGCGACGAUCCAUAGCUGGUCUGAGAGGAUGAUCAGCCACAUUGGGACUGAGACACGGCCCAAACUCCUACGGGAGGCAGCAGUGGGGAAUAUUGGACAAUGGGCGCAAGCCUGAUCCAGCCAUGCCGCGUGAGUGAUGAAGGCCUUAGGGUUGUAAAGCUCUUUCACCGAUGAAGAUAAUGACGGUAGUCGCAGAAGAAGCCCCGGCUAACUUCGUG
This 431-nucleotide ribosomal RNA is filed under the name uncultured bacterium. RNAcentral's name for it is "partial 16S ribosomal RNA". It matches the Rfam family "Bacterial small subunit ribosomal RNA", at positions 29 to 507 of the family's 1533-position model. The record is from RNAcentral.